RNAcentral lists this ribosomal RNA (301 nucleotides) under uncultured bacterium. RNAcentral describes it as "partial 16S ribosomal RNA". It matches the Rfam family "Bacterial small subunit ribosomal RNA", at positions 509 to 807 of the family's 1533-position model. The record is from RNAcentral.
CAGUAGCCGCGGGAAUACGUAGGGUGCGAGCGUUAAUCGGAAUUACUGGGCGUAAAGCGUGCGCAGGCGGUUCGUUAAGACAGAUGUGAAAUCCCCGGGCUUAACCUGGGAACUGCAUUUGUGACUGGCGAGCUAGAGUAUGGCAGAGGGGGGUAGAAUUCCACGUGUAGCAGUGAAAUGCGUAGAGAUGUGGAGGAAUACCGAUGGCGAAGGCAGCCCCCUGGGCCAAUACUGACGCUCAUGCAUGAAAGCGUGGGGAGCAAACAGGAUUAGAUACCCCAGUAGUCCCUGUCUCUUAUAC